AGAGUUUGAUCCUGGCUCAGAACGAACGCUGGCGGCAGGCUUAACACAUGCAAGUCGAGCGCCCGCAAGGGGAGCGGCAGACGGGUGAGUAACGCGUGGGAAUCUACCCUGAACUGCGGAAUAGCUCCGGGAAACUGGAAUUAAUACCGCAUGUGCCCUGAGGGGCAAAGAUUUAUCGGUUCAGGAUGAGCCCGCGUCCGAUUAGCUAGUUGGUGGGGUAAAGGCCUACCAAGGCGACGAUCGGUAGCUGGUCUAAGAGGAUGAUCAGCCACAUUGGGACUGAGACACGGCCCAAACUCCUACGGGAGGCAGCAGUGGGGAAUAUUGGACAAUGGGCGCAAGCCUGAUCCAGCCAUGCCGCGUGAGUGAUGAAGGCCCUAGGGUUGUAAAGCUCUUUCAGUGGGGACGAUAAUGACGGUACCCACAGAAGAAGCCCCGGCUAACUUCGUG
This 450-nucleotide ribosomal RNA is filed under the name uncultured Aurantimonas sp. RNAcentral describes it as "bacterial SSU rRNA". It matches the Rfam family "Bacterial small subunit ribosomal RNA", at positions 8 to 507 of the family's 1533-position model. Lineage: Bacteria; Pseudomonadati; Pseudomonadota; Alphaproteobacteria; Hyphomicrobiales; Aurantimonadaceae. The record is from RNAcentral.